Long non-coding RNA from Choloepus didactylus (southern two-toed sloth), 6141 nucleotides. RefSeq lists it as uncharacterized. The record is from RefSeq and is a predicted model, not a curated record. The transcript has 3 exons. Lineage: Eukaryota; Metazoa; Chordata; Mammalia; Pilosa; Megalonychidae.
CAAUUCCAGCCCCGGGCCCAGGACCGAAGGGGGGCGCCCUGGUGCCGCGCUGCCCCCCAGCACCAAAACCCUCCUCCCCAGCAGGGAGGCCCUGGGCUCAGGUGCAGCGCCCGGGGGCAGCCAGGGGGGGCGCCGCUCCCGGGCCCCGCGGGGAGCCGGGGGUGCAGCCCGGGCGCCGCGCAGAGCGACUCACCGUGGCGGACGCCAGGCUGUUGUCGGCCAGCGUUAGGUGGUGCGGCUCCCAGCGCCUCAGGAAUUUCGAGGAACCCAGAUGACCAAGCCCCUCGCCUGCAGUUACCGAGCGCCCCCUCCCCCUGCCCGUGCCCCAGCAGCUCCCGCUUCUUCACCUGCCCCCCCUGGGACAGGACCCGGCCAUUCACCUCUGCACGUCUCCAGGCCCAGCCCGAGACCCAGGAGCGAGCUACGUUGGAGGUGCCUUUGGGGAAUGAACCGCAGCGUCGCCAACUCCAACUUGGAAGCCAAAACACUCCCUUCCUGCCACCAGGAGUGGCACCUAAAGCCACCCAGGAAAUGCUUGGGUCCUCAGCCAGGCUUUCCCCACGUCCACACGCUUCUGCAGAUUUUUGCUUUUUUGCAAAGCCAAGGUGCCUGGGUCAUGAACUGAUGAGUGUGUGGAGUGUGUAUCGAAUUGCAUCGCUAAUGCGGCAGGAAUUGCACACACCCCCUUCUCUCCCGAGAACAGACGAUGGCGUUACGCCCCGAAACAGCGUCCCCCUGGGCCUGGCCAGGGCCGGGGCAGGGAGUGGAAGACACGCCUGGGCCCACCACCAAAUAAGACUCAAGUCCACCCACCCAGAGAGGGGCAGGGCUAUUCUCUUCUCCCAUGCCCUGGGGAAGACACCACUGGGUUAGAAAAUGAAGACUUCCACCAACUCACCACACUUUUGCUGACAUUUCCUUCUAGUACUAAACUUCAACUGCCUUGAGAAAACCAUCAGACAAGAACAGGGCAAGCCUGAGACCCCCACCUCAAGAUACAGAUGGGGGCACAAGGGAUGGCCAUUACGGGGUGGGCUUAGCCCCGGCAACCUGAGCGCUUCCUUUGUGCCUCGCCUUUUACAUGCACACGUCGACAGCGCCCCACAACAACCCAUCCCGUGAAGCAGGUGCUGCCAUCACUCAGGUGCUGCCAUCACUGCCCCUUGCAGAUGAGGGUCCCUUAGCCAGGCCAGGAGCCACCCCAGGUUUCAGAUUCCCAAGUGGCUUACCAGAAAGCAUGACGCUCAGAGCCCAGGAGGAUGUGAGGAGGACCACUCUUGCGGAGGGACCACGGGAACAAAAAGAGGGAUGCCUCGCCCAGCCAGGGAGCAGCACUGGGGUCCUUGUCCUGACUCCACGGGGAAGAAGAGAGGGGCUCCAGGAAGGUGGGGGGUGUGGCACAUACAAAGGCAGAGAGGAGUGAGGACGCCUGGCCUCUCCAGGCAGUUGCCUGGUGGUGGAGGUGCCCGGGCAGGUGGGGCAAAAGCCUUGGAGGUGAACAGGGGCUCAGGGGGCAGCACCCUGAAAUCCAGGAGCAGGAAUCAAAUUCUCCUGAGGACCUAGCAGGGGCGUGAUCUGCAGAUGGCAUUUUCAAAAGAUCACUGGCUGCAGCGUGGCCAAGGGUCACAGAGGAGCAGCCUGGAGGUGGGGAGGGCAGGGAGGAGGCUGUCACAGGCCCCCAGAAGGGAGGUGAUGGGGCCAGGGACCGGCCAGCAGCAGGCAGGGCAGCUGCUGUCUUCUGAGACAUCUGCCCACCCCAUCCCCCUUUUCAGAGGGCGAGACUUACCAGGGUGCCGAGGAUCCCUGAUUUCUCCCAGGACCAUCCCAGAUGCUGCUUUGCAGGUGACAGGGUGGUUGAUUUGUGAGAAUAAGUAGGAAUAUCAUGAUAGUGACCAGCACUCACCAAGUGCCAGGCACUUCUCUGGGCACUUAUAUACUGUUUCAUUUCUUCCUCUCACCCAGCCCAGAAGAAAGGUUAUUAUCAUCCGCUCUUACAGAGGAAGAAGUUGAGGCUCUGAGCAGGUCAGACAGCUAUGGGGAUCAAGCCAACAUUUGAACCCAAAGUUCCAAAUGACCUCAAAUUCCAUGUUUUUCAUAAUCCUGUGGGGCUCUUAAUGUCCUCCUUGUCAUGUUAUCCCAACCAGGCACUCGGGAAGAAAGUGCUGUAUUUAGUCAAUGUCAUCUUUUUAAAUAAUAUUUUGUGAUUUUAGUUUGAAAACAGUGGACUGGAAUCCCUGAAAGCUGCAAGACAACUUCCUUGAGGGCAGGCACCAGGAGUGCCUGGCUGUCGGGAGCAUCUGGCUCUGCGCCUGCACACAGUAGGGCUCAGCAAAUACGCAUGGGGUGGUGGCGGAACCCACCUAUUCCCUAGUGCUGAGGAGAGCUGCGGUGAGUUGGGAUGGCAGGAGAGGGGCUGGCACUGGAUGGUUUGACCAUGCUAAUCGAGUCCCAACCCCCUGGACCACAGCUCACCGCAGAGCCCCUCGCCUCCCUCCGCCCAGUUCCCAACCUGUAAGUGAAUCUGAGACCAGCUGUCAGAUUCCGUCAGAAACCCCCUCCCUGGAGCUCCUCGCCCUCUCUAGGAGGCACAAGCCCGUCCCCACAGAUGGAUUAUGCGCUCACGUCAUCCUUGAUGCCACAGGAAUCCAGAGCCACCAAAGUAUGGCCCAGGCCCCUUAGAGUCCAUUCUCCUGCCACUGAACGUGAACUUGGAAGGGCACGGAAGCCCACACACACCCUUCACUGUCCUCGGGUUCUUCUUGGGUUCCCUAGUCCCUGGUCACCAUCAAGCCUGUCAUUGUCUGCAUUCUUUCCUGGAGGUCCCUCCUUUGUGAGCCAAGCCCCAACAGAUAACUCUCUGUCUUCACCUCCUCUCUGGAAUGACCCCUCAUAGUUCUGUUCGGCAGCGCCCUGGGCCACCUUGGUGGAGACCUAAUAUGCGUUAGGCUCAGCGCUGGGACCUGGGGAUACCCUCAGCAGCUCAGAUCUCAACUUCCAGUUCUCCGAAGUCUCCCUUCAGGCCAACUCAGACAGGACAGACAGAUCUGCUACCCAGACUGCCCAUACAGGAGUCUGAUGGGGAGGCAGAAGUCCCCGGUGGGGAGAGGAGAGCCGCAGGGCUGCCGGAAGGGGGCGUAGCUAGCCCUCUCCAGGCCUGGCUGGCAAGCAGACUGCCCAUGGGAGCAUGUCCUCCUCCAUGGGGUGGUCUCCAGGGGAUCCCCACCAACCUUCCCACAACAUCCACCUACCCGGAAACGGACCCCACAGACUGGUCCCUCCAAGCAGGCAGAGUUCUUUCCUGUUUUGCUCAUCACUCUAUCCCCCGACACGAUGGUAAAUGUUUAACAAUUAGCUUGCCCAACAAACGGAAAGCCCUGAAUUUCAAUGUUGGCCGAUUUCCCUGGUGUAAAUACUCUUGCCAUGGCCGAUUCAAGCUGCCAGCAGGCAUCACUGAAUACAGAAUUGGGAAGAGAUGUUCCCCCUUACGGACCGCGUCCACCAAACAAAUAGCAGGGUCAGCAAACUAUGCCGAGGGGCUGGAUUCAGGUCACAACCUGUAAAGCCUAACUUUUACUAUCCAGCCCUUUUAGAGAAACACAUUGCCAACCCAUGCCCUAGACAUAAGUAGCCUCAAGAACCAAGAUACUGGUGAAAGGUAGUAAGAUAAUUAGAGAGUGAUGAGUUUUUGACUAUUUGGUAUCUUUGUUUUAUAUAUAACUUAUUUAAUUGUAACUUUAUAUAAUCUAAUCUGUUUUAAUGUCUGUGUUUAACAACCAGUUUGCGAAAUGCCUGAAAAAUGAACAAUCAGCUCUCGUGAACCACUCACCAGUGCCUCUUUCUCCAGGGAUUUGUCCAUAGGGGGUGCACGGUGAUAAUCUGUUGAAUGUUUGACUGUCUAACUCCAGGGCCAAUGCCCCUAACUGCUAGACUACAUUGCCCUGCUUUAUUCAUUCAUUCACUCAUUCAUUCACUCUUGAUUCCAUUAAACACCUAUGUAUUGGCACCUGCUGAGUGCCAGAGCCUCUGCCAGGUGCUCCAGACACAAUUCACACAGCCAACUGGGAAAGCCAGAUCCGUGCCCCACACCCCCCACAAAAUAAAGAACAACAACAAAAAGAUGCCAAGAAAUCAAACUCCUCACCAGCUGUGGGUAUCCUCGGCUGCUUCACUAUAAAACGGGGCAUCACAAUACCGUCCUCCGGAGUCCUACGGGUUAAAUGAGGCAACCAACAGCGAGCUCAGAGCCUGGCGCAGAACGCAAUAGGCAUUAGCUCUUUCACGUCCCCACCGCCACCAUUUUUAGAACCUGCAUUUAAACAGCACUAAUAGGCCCUCCAUCCAGUCCACUUCCAUUCCAGUCCAAUUCUUUGAGCCUUUCCCAUUUGCCUAACAAACUAGGGGUGUAGACACCCUAGAUACGCACCUCUGCAGGGUUUAAAGCAGGGUUUUCCAGCCUUGGCACUGCUGAUAUUUGGGGACGGUAAUUCUUGGUGGUGGAGGCCAUCCUGCGAACUGUAGGACAUUGGGCAGCAUCCCUGGCCUUGACCCCCUAGAUGCGUGAAGCAGCCGCCUCCCCAGUGUGACAACCAAAAUACCGCGAGACAUUGCCGCGUGUUGCCUGGGGGGGCACAAGCACCUGUGUUGAGAAACCCCAGUUUAAAAGGAGGCUUUUCCCCUCCCUGUCAGCUGCUCUGUGGCCACAGGGCAGGGCCGCCCUCUCCCCAGCAUCCCCGGUCACAGUGCGGGGAGAUGGCGCUGGCCACGGGCGCGCAGGGGCCCCUUCCUCCUCAGACACGGCUCCCCAGGCGCGGGGGCAGACGCGCUCACAGCCACCUCCUCAGGCUGUCAAGGACCACGCAGCCCUGGGGAUGGAAGGAGAGGCAGCCUUUCCCCCUUUAAGCCGUGUCUUUGAAGCCUGAUUAAUGGCGGGAGGCUACGCGUGUCGGAAAAUGCCAAGUGCAAAAAGCAGGCAACGAAACUCUCUGUUCCCAAGUGGUCCCAAUCCUGGAGCUGCCCGCGGCACAAGUGCUAUUGGGGAACUCUCUGGAAGCCCUGUCUCAAAACUCCGUCUCAAAAUUACAUCAGCCGGGAGAACACUGCCGCCCCUCAUUUUUAACAGGCGUCAGACAACAGCACCACGGAACACACACUCUGCGCGGAUGGCAUUUAAUGUGCUAAUCGAAUCAUAAAAUGCACUUACUCUCCCCACUGAAACAAGAGUCGUGUUUCAGCCCUGCAGUGGGUGAACAUUUCCAUCCCUCUCCUCCCGGUGCUGACGUGGGACCAGUCCAUCUUCUAGUUCCAUCAGACGGGCAGUGGAGGGAGGGCACGAGGCAGAAGGAGCAUGUUUCCAUGCCUAGCAGCCUAGGAUAACGGGAGGCUGAGGAUAACUCUAGUGUAUCGCUCUCCACCUCCGCUAAAUUGAAGGGGGCAAAGGAGAGCAGCGGUGGUGGUGGUGGGGGGGGGGGACAAGGUGCCAUUGUCUACCCCCCACCCCCUUUCUCACUGUCUCCAAAUAAUGAAGUCUGAGGUUAACGGAGAAGGAACACAGAUGACUGGGUGUUUUUCUGGAAAGAAUAUUUUUUACACAUACUCCAAGACUAUUGACCAAUUUAUUAAACACACCAAAUCUUAGUCGAGGUUCUCUGGGAUGAUGAUAUUACAGGUAAUUUUUUCCUUUUUAAACCAACGCUAAUGGUGCAUAAUUGAUAUAUAAUAAAUGCACCCAUUUUAAGGGAACGGGUUGCUACAUUUUAAUAAAUGUGUACGCCCACGUAACCACUAUCCCAGUCAAGAUAUAGAUAUAAAACCUUCCCACAACCCCCAAAAGUCUUGUUGCAUUCCUUCACAGUUGGUCCCCGCCGCCCACUCUCAGCCCUGGGCAAGCCCCAAUCUGCUUUCCCUCACUAUAAAAGUUUUACCUGUUCCUGAACUUCAAAUAAAUACAAUCAGAAGGUACGUACUCUUUGGAAUCCGACUGCUUUGACUCAGCACAACAGUUUUUGAGAUUCAUUUGUGGUGGGGCCGGUAUCAUCCAUUCUUUUCUGUUGCUUGACAAGCGUACCCAUUACACAGAUAUACCACUUAUGGGUAAAUUUUGUUUUCUUCUUUACACUCUCUUUUGUUCCCCCCAAUUUUCUA